AGAGUUUGAUCCUGGCUCAGGAUGAACGCUGGCGGUAUGCCUUAUACAUGCAAGUCGUACGAGAGUUUUUAACUCUAGUGGCGGACGGGUGAGUAACACGUAAGAAUUUGCCUUUAGGAGGGGGACAACAACUGGAAACGGUUGCUAAUACCCCAUAUGCUUUCGAGUGAAAUGGAUUUCCGCCUAAAGAGAAGCUUGCGGCUGAUUAGCUUGUUGGUAGGGUAAUGGCCUACCAAGGCGACGAUCAGUAUCUGGUUUGAGAGGACGAUCAGACACACUGGAACUGAGACACGGUCCAGACUCCUACGGGAGGCAGCAGUGGGGAAUUUUCCGCAAUGGGCGAAAGCCUGACGGAGCAAUACCGCGUGAGGGAAGACUGCCUAUGGGUUGUAAACCUCUUUUUUCAGGGAGGAAUAAAUGACGUGUACCUGAAGAAUAAGCAUCGGCUAACUCCGUGCCAGCAGCCGCGGUAAGACGGAGGAUGCAAGUGUUAUCCGGAAUCACUGGGCGUAAAGCGUCUGUAGGUGGCCUAAUAAGUCAACUGUUAAAUCUUGAGGCUCAACUUCAAAAUCGCAGUCGAAACUAUUAGACUAGAGUAUAGUAGAGGUAAAGGGAAUUUCCAGUGGAGCGGUGAAAUGCGUAGAUAUUGGAAAGAACACCGAUGGCGAAAGCACUUUACUGGGCUAUUACUAACACUCA
RNAcentral lists this ribosomal RNA (699 nucleotides) under uncultured bacterium. RNAcentral describes it as "bacterial SSU rRNA". It matches the Rfam family "Bacterial small subunit ribosomal RNA", at positions 8 to 749 of the family's 1533-position model. The record is from RNAcentral.